GACGAACGCUGGCGGCGUGCUUAACACAUGCAAGUCGAACGGAAAGGCCUCUUUCGGGGGGUACUCGAGUGGCGAACGGGUGAGUAACACGUGAGUAACCUGCUCUUGACUUUGGGAUAACUUCAGGAAACUGGGGCUAAUACCGGAUAGGAGCUCCUGCUGCAUGGUGGGGGUUGGAAAGUUUCGGCGGUUGGGGAUGGACUCGCGGCUUAUCAGCUUGUUGGUGGGGUAGUGGCUUACCAAGGCUUUGACGGGUAGCCGGCCUGAGAGGGUGACCGGCCACAUUGGGACUGAGAUAUGGCCCAGACUCCUACGGGAGGCAGCAGUGGGGAAUAUUGCACAAUGGGUGGAAGCCUGAUGCAGCAACGCCGUGUGCGGGAUGACGGCCUUCGGGUUGUAAACCGCUUUCGCUCAUGACGAAGCUUUGUGUGACGGUAGUGGGUAAAGAAGCACCGGCUAACUACGUG
This 467-nucleotide ribosomal RNA is filed under the name uncultured bacterium. Its description in RNAcentral is "partial 16S ribosomal RNA". It matches the Rfam family "Bacterial small subunit ribosomal RNA", at positions 28 to 507 of the family's 1533-position model. The record is from RNAcentral.